This 468-nucleotide ribosomal RNA is filed under the name uncultured bacterium. RNAcentral's name for it is "partial 16S ribosomal RNA". It matches the Rfam family "Bacterial small subunit ribosomal RNA", at positions 28 to 507 of the family's 1533-position model. The record is from RNAcentral.
GAUGAACGCUGGCGGCGUGCUUAACACAUGCAAGUCGAACGGAAAGGCCCAAGCUUGCUUGGGUACUCGAGUGGCGAACGGGUGAGUAACACGUGGGUGAUCUGCCCUGCACUUCGGGAUAAGCCUGGGAAACUGGGUCUAAUACCGGAUAGGACGAUGGUUUGGAUGCCAUUGUGGAAAGUUUUUUCGGUGUGGGAUGAGCUCGCGGCCUAUCAGCUUGUUGGUGGGGUAAUGGCCUACCAAGGCGUCGACGGGUAGCCGGCCUGAGAGGGUGUACGGCCACAGUGGGACUGAGAUACGGCCCAGACUCCGACGGGAGGAAGCAGUGGGGAAUAUUGCACAAUGGGCGCAAGCCUGAUGCAGCGACGCCGCGUGGGGGAUGACGGCCUUCGGGUUGUAAACUCCUUUCGCUAGGGACGAAGCGUUUUUGUGACGGUACCUGGAGAAGAAGCACCGGCUAACUACGUG